GCUCCACUGGGGCAGAACUUGAGGUCCCAGAUGCAGCCGUUGUCACAAGCAAUCCCAUAGACAAAGUGGGCCCUGUUGCCAGGACUGGAGAGAGAGAGCAUGUGGGGAUGGUGGGUAGGAAGAAGGGACGCAGGGCUGCCAGAGGUAAGCUCCCCUUGUCUCAGCCCAAUCCAAGCCCUUCCCCCUAUCCUGUCCAGACCCCAUCCUGCUGUCCUCAACCACCCUCCCAUGGCAGUGUCCAACCCCACCUCACCAGCUUUCUUGCUGCAAGGUCCCAAGGCCCCAGAGCUGGAGCAGCCCAGGACCCGAAUGAAGCUGGCUCAGUGGGUGUGUCUCAUUCAUGUCAGGGCUGGAGAAAAGAGCCACAUAUUGCGAGGCUCCUGCCCCCUCUGGCACUGGGCACCAGUCCAGAGCCCAGAGCGGUCCCCCCGUGAAGAAGGACACAUCCCAGCGCUCUGGAUGUGCUGUGAUCGAGCUAAAUCUAGAGAAAAAUCAAAGAUGGGAUGAAGAAAGGAAUUAAUGAAAGAAUCAGAAAAAAGGGCGGAUGUGCAAUCUUCACCUGUUUAUUCGGUAGAGGGUGCCAUCUUCAGGUAGCCCUUCACGUUGUACAGAAAACAAUGGAGACUUCUCCUCCUGGGGCAGUGGUGUCACCCUUCCUAAGCUAC
Long non-coding RNA from Homo sapiens (human), 665 nucleotides. Ensembl annotates it as GTF3C2 antisense RNA 1. Its record names the gene GTF3C2-AS1. The record is from Ensembl. Lineage: Eukaryota; Metazoa; Chordata; Mammalia; Primates; Hominidae.